UGGAGGAGGCUGGCCCUGUGACCUAUGUUAACCAAUAGAAUAUGGCUGAAGAGAAACUGUAUCAGAUCUGGGCUCAAGCCUCAAGAAGGCCUGGCAGCUUCUGCUUAUAUGAUUUGGAGGAAGCUACUCACAGUGUAAGAAGUUGGACUGCCAGUCUUAAGAAGCCUAACCUAAACAUGUGGAGAGAGGCCCUAAGGAUUAAUAGCCGAGCCCUAGAGAACAGCCUCAGCUGAGCAACCAGCCGACAGCCAGCGCCACUUGCCAGCCAGGUUAAUGAAGCCAUCUAGGAAGUGGAUCCUCCAGCCCUAGCUGAACCACUCUAAAAUGAUGCCAUGUGGAGCAGGUGUCCCCACAGAGCCCCACCUAAGUUGCAGAAUUGGGAGCAAGAGAAAGAAUAAAAUGACGAAAUAUGCUUAGAGAAAUGCACUAAAGGUCAUCUCUGUCUUGAACGUGCCAGCUACUUGAGUACAACAAGGAUGCCCUUCUCUUCUCGCUUUCGUUUCUUCACUUUCAAAGAGGUAAGGAGAUC
Vicugna pacos (alpaca) is the source of this 529-nucleotide non-coding RNA. Lineage: Eukaryota; Metazoa; Chordata; Mammalia; Artiodactyla; Camelidae. The record is from RefSeq and is a predicted model, not a curated record.